GAUGAACGCUGGCGGCGUGCCUAACACAUGCAAGUCGAGCGAAGCGCUUAAAUUAGCUUUCUUCGGAAUGACGAUUUUUGUGACUGAGCGGCGGACGGGUGAGUAACGCGUGGGUAACCUGCCUCAUACAGGGGGAUAACAGUUAGAAAUGACUGCUAAUACCGCAUAAGACCCCAGCUUCGCAUGAAGCGGUGGUAAAAACUCCGGUGGUAUGAGAUGGACCCGCGUCUGAUUAGCUAGUUGGUAAGGUAACGGCUUACCAAGGCGACGAUCAGUAGCCGACCUGAGAGGGUGACCGGCCACAUUUGGACUGAGACCCGGCCCAGACUCCUACGGGAGGCAGCAGUGGGGAAUAUUGCACAAUGGGGGAAACCCUGAUGCAGCGACGCCGCGUGAAGGAUGAAGUAUUUCGGUAUGUAAACUUCUAUCAGCAGGGAAGAAAGUGACGGUACCUGACUAAGAAGCCCCGGCUAACUACGUG
Molecule: ribosomal RNA, 481 nt
Filed under: uncultured bacterium
Lineage: Bacteria
Description: partial 16S ribosomal RNA
Rfam family: Bacterial small subunit ribosomal RNA
Source: RNAcentral